RNAcentral lists this transfer RNA (69 nucleotides) under Notomastus sp. GK-2021. RNAcentral describes it as "tRNA-Gln". Lineage: Eukaryota; Metazoa; Annelida; Polychaeta; Capitellidae. The record is from RNAcentral.
UUACAUUGUAGUGUACGGCACGCCAGUCUUUGAAAUUGGAAGAGGCAAACUCAUUUCGCCCAAUGUAAU